This 2989-nucleotide long non-coding RNA is filed under the name Sus scrofa (pig). RNAcentral describes it as "lncRNA (ENSSSCG00000052093.1)". The record is from RNAcentral. Lineage: Eukaryota; Metazoa; Chordata; Mammalia; Artiodactyla; Suidae.
CUGGGGGGUGGGGUGGGGCACCACAGCAGUGACCAGAGCCACAGCAGUGAUGACACUGGAUCUUUAACCCCCUGAACCACCAGGGAACCCAUAUUCUCCCUUUUCUUAUGAUCCCCUUUCACCUCCACUUCCCUUCUUCAUGGAAUAAUCCCUCCCCAUCUUCGAGACUCAGAUCUAACUUACUCCUGAAAAUAUUUUUACACUCCCCCCACCUCAGCCAAAGUCUCUCCUCUAUGAUUCUGCAGCAUCCCAUGCACAUUUGGCAGCACAUACUUCAUCACAAUGAUCCACGUGUAACUCUGGCUCUUGUAGCAGAUGAACUGGAAAGCAGCAACUCCACCUAACUUCUAGUGGUGGUGAACAGACCUUGGCAGAAUUGAACUGAAUGUCUAUUGUGGAAAAGGUGAAAGGACUUUGACCAACCACCAACGCAUACUGAGCUCCUAUUAAGGGCCAAGCAGUGAGGCAAUGGGCUAAGUUAGCUAAUAUCAGAGGCGAAGUGAGUAGAAACUCGUCGCAAUAAUGGAACAACUUUUAAACGACUAUAUGUGCUUGGAAACAGUAUAGAACACACAUUGGAAAGUGUGUUCGCCAUCACUGAAAGUGCUAGGAAUACUAUAUAAAAAUUGUCAUAGUUGGGAGGCUGUAUUAGAACGUGAGGUACUUUCUAAGAUCCCUUCCAACACUGAGAUUCUAGAGUCUCUUCUGCUUGACCUCUUCUUGUCAAAGAUGAGAAAAAUGUCCAUUUGCAUCUUUUAAUAACAGCAAUAGCUUCAGAGUUCUACACUUGGUUAAAACAAAUGUACUCAGAGAUUUUCCCGCAGACUGUCAGGAUAAAGCCAGAAAACAAAUUGCUAAAAUGUGAGCUAGUAUCUAGUACUUCUAAUUCCCUUAACUAAGAAGGUAAAAGCAUUUCCUGGGCAAUUUCUGUAUACAUGUAUGUGCAUGAUACAUGGAUGUGCAAACAUGCAGCUGUAUGUUUGUCUAAGUGGGUUCUAUUAUCAGAAAUUACAGGAGAGAAAACAGUGAACACUGACAAGGUACUCUUGCGCUAUCAUGAAACAGUGGCCACACUUAAGAACAAAUAAAAGGAAUGAAUGCAUUUUGUGCCAGGCAACACUAAGUUGAAUAAAUGUUAGCAUUUAAUGACAUGCAACAAAACAAGAAUAAAACUGGCCUUUGUUCACAUGAAAUAUUGACUCAGGAUGCAGGGAAGAAAAAGUACAGACUGUAAAACCCUCACAGAUGCAGCAGUAUGUGGGCAAUGUGUGGGCGGCACAGCUGGUAAUAAGCAAGUACUGUGUGCCCAGUCUCCUGAGCUGGGACCAGUCAGCGAUCUACACUUGUCUGUUCCUGGGCAACUUACUUAACUCCAGUGUGCCUCAGUUUUUCUAUCUGUAACGUGAGCAUGAUGUCACCUACCUAAUAGACAGCUGAGAAGCACAGAAUGACAUAAGCCCUGUAAAGAGCUAAGAACAGUGCUAACCCACUGAACACCACUCAGCCAUAAAAAGAACGAAAUAAUGCCAUUUGCAGGAACAUGGAUGCAACUAGAGAUUCUCAUACUAAGUGAAGUAAGUCAGAGAGACAAAUACCAUAUGAUAUCACUUAUAUCUGGAAUCUAAAAUAUGGCAUAAACUAAUCUAUUUAUAGAACAGAAACAGACUCACAGAUAUGGGGAACAGAUUUGUGGUUGCCAAGUGGAAGCUGGAGGGAGUGGGAUGAACUGGGAGCUUGGGUUUAGUAGAUGCAAACUAUUAUAUUGAGAAUGGGCGAGCAAUGAGGUCUGACUGCGUAGCGCAGCGAACUAUAUCUAAUCACUUCUGAUAGAAUAUGAUAGAAGAUAACAUGAGAAAAAGAAUGUAUAUAUAUAUAUAUAUAUGUAUAACUUGGUUUCUUUGUUGUAUAGCAGAAAUUGACAGAACAUUAUAAAUCAACUAUAAAUUUUUAAAAAAUAAGAAAAUAAAGUGUGACUUCAAACAAACAAACAAAAAACCAGUGUUGACCCAUGGUAAGGAUGCACAAACAUGACCUGUCAUGAUUGUACCUGGACACAUGUUCAUACUAAGUGGAUCCACAGUUAUCAAUACAAAGUAAAAUGCUAUUACUGUUCAGUUUUUAUUUGCAGGGCUAAAUUCAAAGACUCCAAAGCAUGAUUGUUAGAGAUGUAAUGUAAAUGUUAUCCUUUCCAUCAAGCUUUAUGUUUAUCCAGGGUAAAAGCCUACCUGGCAGCAUCUUUAGGAUAAUUAAAUGAAUUACCAAUGACAAAGUGCUUAGCUGCUAUCAUUAUUAUUUUUCCCACUUAUCAAAUACAUAAGAUAAAUAUAGUUACUACUGUACAUAAGCUAAGCUCAUCUAUGUCUGUUAAUAACUAGGUUUGAGUGCAGUGAUGGCUUCUGGAGUUGAAUUGUUUUCAAAUCAAGAAAAAUAAUGGCUAGUAACUCCUGGAACUGCAGAGAAGAGUGAAAGGCUCAAACAGUGCAAGGUGGGUUCAAGAUUAUGCAUAGGGAAUAUGAAAAAAUGUUAAUAAAAAUUAGAAUAGGUAAAUCAAAGAGAUGGUGGAAUCUUCUGAGAAUUGACAUGUACUCAGCUGGCCUGUGUGGUCAUUUCAUGCACUGACCGUAGGCACUGCAGGCAGAACAGCAGUUCCAAAGGAGUGUAUGUCCUAAGGCUCAGAACCUGUGAACAGUUAGAUUAUGCAGCAAAGUGGAGUUAAGGCUGUGAACAGCACUGAGGUUAGUAAUGAGCUGUUUCUUAACAUAGGAGAUUAUUCUGGCGUGAGAAAUCAGCUGGCCACUGCUGUCUUAGAUGGAAGAAGGGACCGUGAGCCAAGGAAUGAGAGCAGCUUCCACAAGGUGAGGAAGCUAAGGAAGGGAUUCUCCAUGACAAUGGAAAGGUAUACAACCCUCCUGAUACUUUUAUUUUAGCCGAAAGAGACCCAUGUCAGACCCCUGACCUCUUGAACUGGAUGACAAUUUGUCUUGUAUUA